CUUGUUACUCACUGGAUGUCUCUUCUGUGGCCCAUUAUUCCUAACCUUUUGCUUCCUUAACACCGUAGCCAUCACCUACACUGCAACCGCUGCAUUACCCUUUGGAACCAUUGUGGUGAUCGUCCUUAUAUGGACUCUAGUUACCUCACCUUUACUCGUUUUGGGUGGUAUCGCGGGUAAAAACAGCAAAGCAGAGUUCCAAGCACCAUGCCGUACAACCAAAUAUCCUCGUGAGAUUCCACCACUCCC
RNAcentral lists this long non-coding RNA (249 nucleotides) under Arabidopsis thaliana (thale cress). RNAcentral describes it as "long non-coding RNA (ATHA_LNC000094)". The record is from RNAcentral. Lineage: Eukaryota; Viridiplantae; Streptophyta; Magnoliopsida; Brassicales; Brassicaceae.